GACGAGGUGGACAAACGUUAUUCGGAUUUACUGGGCUUAAAGAGUUCGUAGGCGGCGCGGAAAGUAGGGUGUGAAAGCCCUCGGCUCAACCGAGGAAUUGCGCUCUAAACUGUCGCGCUCGAGGAACCUAGAGGUGAGCAGAACUGAUGGUGGAGCGGUGAAGUGCGUUGAUAUCAUCAGGAAUACCGGAGGCGAAGGCGGCUCACUGGGGGUUAUCUGACGCUGAGGAACGAAAGCCAGGGGAGCAAACGGG
RNAcentral lists this ribosomal RNA (253 nucleotides) under uncultured bacterium. RNAcentral's name for it is "partial 16S ribosomal RNA". It matches the Rfam family "Bacterial small subunit ribosomal RNA", at positions 524 to 776 of the family's 1533-position model. The record is from RNAcentral.